GUACAUCUCUGCUGCCUGAAAACUGUGGGGAGAGACGAUCUUUCCAGGGUGAUGAUAAUGUGAAUUGGGGAGAAUGUUGUGUUUGAGACUUCACAUUUCUGAAAAGAUGAAAUUUAGGCCUUACGAUUGGCACAUGAAGUCACUUUGACCCCUCAUCUCCAAAGAGGGCUGUUUUCUUUGGACUGAAAACCUCAGCACUAGCAACAGGAAAAGCUAUCUUAUCAAAUGGCACAGUCUUGUACAGAUGGGGUUGGCUCCUCGACUUUCUGCAUGGGUCUGUGAGGUCUCCCUGAGCACCUGACCUGAGACAGUCAGUCGCGCCCUACUUCAUGUUUAUCAAAGAUUUAUGAGCAACUGGUCUUUGUUUUCAAUAUCUGGUUCUCCCGCAGGAAGAGAACGGGGACCUGUCUGCCCCCUUCACUGCUGUUUCUCUCCGCCCUGGCACACAGACUCUUGAAAGAUCUUUGUUGAAAUAAUGAAUGACCAAAUGAACAAGUCUCUACUCUUAAACUAGUACUGCGUUGUUUAUUAACUAUUUAACAACUGUGAAUGCUGGCUCCUCCUUACUCUUUUACCAAAUUUUCUGGACUGUUCUUCCAUGUUUUUCUUCCAAACAGACUUGAAUUGGUUUUCAAAAUUUC
Molecule: long non-coding RNA, 641 nt
Filed under: Equus caballus (horse)
Lineage: Eukaryota; Metazoa; Chordata; Mammalia; Perissodactyla; Equidae
Description: lncRNA (ENSECAG00000056047.1)
Source: RNAcentral